GCUGGGGUCAGUGGGUGAGAGUCUCUGGCCUGUGCUAUGCCCAGAACAGACUAUAUCCCAGGGGUCCCUUCCGGCCUUGGAACAGCUGGGAACCUAUGAGUCUCCUGGCAAAACUGUGAUCCGUGGCUGUUCAAAACAAUCGUUUAGCGUUAAGCGCCCUGCUCCUCAAUGAAAAUUGCAACCUCUGCUUUUCCCAAAUGAACAGCUUUAGGAAGAUUGAUCUAUGGCCAACAUUUUCAAAUUUGGGGACCUAAAAUUAAUAAUAAUUAGGCACAUGAAUCCGACUGAAUUUCAAUGGGAUUUGGACAUCUAGCUUCUAUAAAGCUGCUUUCAAAGUGCCAAACUUAGCUCUCAUCUGGCACAACUGUAGGCCCCAGCCCCAUUUGGCGAAACUGAGGCACAGAGAGGAGAUGGGUCACACUGUCAAAAGCAUCUAAUCCUAUUAUCCAGAGGGACAGGUUUUUAAAGACAGAGGAGUGUGCGUGUCAGCUCCCUGUCUGGGUGGCAUGAAGAGUAGUUAAGAAACUGGUUGAAACUGACCCAGAUGAACAAGGGGGCCGGAGAGACAAUGCCAGCGGUGCCUGGAUUUCCCCCCUUCUCGCAGGGAAGCUGAGCAAAGACACACACCUGCCAGCUGGAGAACGAAGGACUGGGAAGGGGUGAGCUGGGGGGUGAGAGGUGACUUCUGGAUGCUCUCUCUCCUGGGAACUGACUACAGAGGUUCGACAGACACACAGACACAGCCUGGACAUGGGGUUCACUGCGGCUGGGCGGGGCCCGGGGCUGACCAGAACGGACGACGUUUUCACCUUCAUUUCUCUGUGCUAACCUAAGAGCUUCCUAGGCUGUGUCCAUGUGACUAAUAAACCCAGCUGUUUUGCA
This is a long non-coding RNA of Chelonia mydas (Green sea turtle), 882 nucleotides long. RefSeq lists it as uncharacterized. NCBI's taxonomy places the organism in Eukaryota, Metazoa, Chordata, Testudines, Cheloniidae. The record is from RefSeq and is a predicted model, not a curated record. The transcript has 2 exons.